UACGUAGGUGACAAGCGUUGUCCGGAUUUACUGGGCGUAAAGAGCGCGCAGGCGGUCGAUCAAGUCGAGUGUGAAAGCCCCCGGCUCAACUGGGGAGGGUCACUCGAUACUGAUCGACUCGAAGGCAGAAGAGGGAAGCGGAAUUCCCGGUGUAGUGGUGAAAUGCGCAGAUAUCGGGAGGAACACCAAUGGCGAAGGCAGCUCGCUGGGACGUUACUGACGCUGAGACGCGAAAGCGUGGGGAGCAAACAGG
RNAcentral lists this ribosomal RNA (253 nucleotides) under uncultured bacterium. RNAcentral's name for it is "partial 16S ribosomal RNA". It matches the Rfam family "Bacterial small subunit ribosomal RNA", at positions 524 to 776 of the family's 1533-position model. The record is from RNAcentral.